This 448-nucleotide ribosomal RNA is filed under the name uncultured bacterium. Its description in RNAcentral is "bacterial SSU rRNA". It matches the Rfam family "Bacterial small subunit ribosomal RNA", at positions 329 to 794 of the family's 1533-position model. The record is from RNAcentral.
GUCCAGACUCCUACGGGAGGCAGCAGUGGGGAAUAUUGCACAAUGGGGGAAACCCUGAUGCAGCGACGCCGCGUGAGUGAAGAAGUAUUUCGGUAUGUAAAGCUCUAUCAGCAGGGAAGAAAAUGACGGUACCUGACUAAGAAGCCCCGGCUAACUACGUGCCAGCAGCCGCGGUAAUACGUAGGGGGCAAGCGUUAUCCGGAUUUACUGGGUGUAAAGGGAGCGUAGACGGCAUGGCAAGUCAGAUGUGAAAGCCCGGGGCUCAACCCCGGGACUGCAUUUGAAACUGUCAGGCUGGAGUGCAGGAGAGGUAAGUGGAAUUCCUAGUGUAGCGGUGAAAUGCGUAGAUAUUAGGAGGAACACCAGUGGCGAAGGCGGCUUACUGGACUGUAACUGACGUUGAGGCUCGAAAGCGUGGGGAGCAAACAGGAUUAGAUACCCGUGUAAU